GAUGAACGCUGGCGGCGUGCCUAAUACAUGCAAGUCGAGCGAACGGACGAGAAGCUUGCUUCUCUGAUGUUAGCGGCGGACGGGUGAGUAACACGUGGAUAACCUACCUAUAAGACUGGGAUAACUUCGGGAAACCGGAGCUAAUACCGGAUGAUAUUUUGAACCGCAUGGUUCAAAAGUGAAAGACGGUCUUGAUGUCACUUAUAGAUGGAUCCGCGCUGCAUUAGCUAGUUGGUAAGGUAACGGCUUACCAAGGCUACGAUGCAUAGCCGACCUGAGAGGGUGAUCGGCCACACUGGAACUGAGACACGGUCCAGACUCCUACGGGAGGCAGCAGUAGGGAAUCUUCCGCAAUGGGCGAAAGCCUGACGGAGCAACGCCGCGUGAGUGAUGAAGGUCUUCGGAUCGUAAAACUCUGUUAUUAGGGAAGAACAUAUGUGUAAGUAACUGUGCACAUCUUGACGGUACCUAAUCAGAAAGCCACGGCUAACUACGUG
RNAcentral lists this ribosomal RNA (497 nucleotides) under uncultured bacterium. RNAcentral's name for it is "partial 16S ribosomal RNA". It matches the Rfam family "Bacterial small subunit ribosomal RNA", at positions 28 to 507 of the family's 1533-position model. The record is from RNAcentral.